AGAGUUUGAUCCUGGCUCAGGAUGAACGCUGGCGGCGUGCCUAAUACAUGCAAGUCGAGCGAACGGACGAGAAGCUUGCUUCUCUGAUGUUAGCGGCGGACGGGUGAGUAACACGUGGAUAACCUACCUAUAAGACUGGGAUAACUUCGGGAAACCGGAGCUAAUACCGGAUAAUAUUUUGAACCGCAUGGUUCAAAAGUGAAAGACGGUCUUGCUGUCACUUAUAGAUGGAUCCGCGCUGCAUUAGCUAGUUGGUAAGGUAACGGCUUACCAAGGCAACGAUGCAUAGCCGACCUGAGAGGGUGAUCGGCCACACUGGAACUGAGACACGGUCCAGACUCCUACGGGAGGCAGCAGUAGGGAAUCUUCCGCAAUGGGCGAAAGCCUGACGGAGCAACGCCGCGUGAGUGAUGAAGGUCUUCGGAUCGUAAAACUCUGUUAUUAGGGAAGAACAUAUGUGUAAGUAACUGUGCACAUCUUGACGGUACCUAAUCAGAAAGCCACGGCUAACUACGUGCCAGCAGCCGCGGUAAUACGUAGGUGGCAAGCGUUAUCCGGAAUUAUUGGGCGUAAAGCGCGCGUAGGCGGUUUUUUAAGUCUGAUGUGAAAGCCCACGGCUCAACCGUGGAGGGUCAUUGGAAACUGGAAAACUUGAGUGCAGAAGAGGAAAGUGGAAUUCCAUGUGUAGCGGUGAAAUGCGCAGAGAUAUGGAGGAACACCAGUGGCGAAGGCGACUUUCUGGUCUGUAACUGACGCUGAUGUGCGAAAGCGUGGGGAUCAAACAGGAUUAGAUACCCUGGUAGUCCACGCCGUAAACGAUGAGUGCUAAGUGUUAGGGGGUUUCCGCCCCUUAGUGCUGCAGCUAACGCAUUAAGCACUCCGCCUGGGGAGUACGACCGCAAGGUUGAAACUCAAAGGAAUUGACGGGGACCCGCACAAGCGGUGGAGCAUGUGGUUUAAUUCGAAGCAACGCGAAGAACCUUACCAAAUCUUGACAUCCUUUGCCAACUCUAGAGAUAGAGCCUUCCCCUUCGGGGGACAAAGUGACAGGUGGUGCAUGGUUGUCGUCAGCUCGUGUCGUGAGAUGUUGGGUUAAGUCCCGCAACGAGCGCAACCCUUAAGCUUAGUUGCCAUCAUUAAGUUGGGCACUCUAAGUUGACUGCCGGUGACAAACCGGAGGAAGGUGGGGAUGACGUCAAAUCAUCAUGCCCCUUAUGAUUUGGGCUACACACGUGCUACAAUGGACAAUACAAAGGGCAGCGAAACCGCGAGGUCAAGCAAAUCCCAUAAAGUUGUUCUCAGUUCGGAUUGUAGUCUGCAACUCGACUACAUGAAGCUGGAAUCGCUAGUAAUCGUAGAUCAGCAUGCUACGGUGAAUACGUUCCCGGGUCUUGUACACACCGCCCGUCACACCACGAGAGUUUGUAACACCCGAAGCCGGUGGAGUAACCUUUUAGGAGCUAGCCGUCGAAGGUGGGACAAAUGAUUGGGGUGAAGUCGUAACAAGGUAGCCGUAUCGGAAGGUGCGGCUGGAUCACCU
Molecule: ribosomal RNA, 1540 nt
Filed under: Staphylococcus aureus DAR22
Lineage: Bacteria; Bacillati; Bacillota; Bacilli; Caryophanales; Staphylococcaceae
Description: 16S ribosomal RNA
Rfam family: Bacterial small subunit ribosomal RNA
Source: RNAcentral